GGCUCCACCCUUGUGAAGUAAAAUCUGCCAGGUGUGGGUCAUUUGACCUUUGCUAUAUAGGAAGCUUGAGGAGCUGUGGGGAAUUGCCUUUGGGGGUGGAAGAGAAUUGAGGCUAGGGUUGUCUAGGGUGCUUUUCUGCUGUUGUGGUGAAGUGGGCUUAGUGUUCCCCUGUGGGCUAUUUUUUCUUCAUGCUUUCUGCCAUCUAUGUGAAAUACUUUUAGCGACUCUAUGAGCUAGCUAGGUUGGCAGUGCCUUCUCAGUACAGUAGAACCCUGGUAGUGAGACUUCACUGUGAAGCAGCGUGGAAGUGACUCAGGUUCAGAAGCUGGCAGAUAAGUGUUCCUGGGUUUACAGUUCUGUAAUGUUGAGGAGUUGGAGUACUUCCUUCAGCUUGUCUGUUUUCAGUGAAACUACUCUUGUGGAUUCUGAGCUCCCUUUCCAGCCCUUAAAAACAUAAUAAUAAUAGUAAAUAGAAAUAAAACCCCACCAACUCAGAAGCUCCAGUGCUUACAGGCCUGAGUGUCUUGGCGGCGGAGAAAGUUUUGGAAGAGGUCCACCAAAUGAGAAUCGAUCUUCCUCUGUAGAAACCAGUGUCUGAGGUAUCGAGGAAAGCGUCCUUCUGUGAAAGGAAGAUGAGAGAGUGGGAACGCUGCCUGUGCCACCCUGUGGUUUUGCCAACAUGAUAGUGCAGAGGACAGGAGAGAAAAGGAUGGAAAACUGAGGUGGACACUUAAAGGCAUUGUUACACGAGUUGUGAAUAAAAACAAAGUGUCAGGAAAAGGGGUUGUGUGAGAAAGGUGCUGCUCCAAAUUAUACAGGGCGGUCCUUAGGGUGGGCUGGUCCCCAGAUUGAAGACCUCCUCAAGUUCUGUUGGAGCACCGUCACACACCGGGGGAGCGGGAUGAUCAGAGUCUGAUGGAAUGCAGUCCUCAAAUGCUGGAUGGAUGCUGUUCUCAACAUUGGGGACACCACACACCUCAUGAACUGAAGUAGGAGGCUCUGCAUCUUUCCUGCCUUUCAGCUCUGGCAACUUGAGUCUUUCUUCAGAUGGAGGAAAAAGUCAGUUGAACAGAAACCUCCUCAAUUCCAACAACUAGACAAGACAGUGAAGAUAACACAAGAAAGAGACAGGGCUGCAAGUGGCAAAGGCUGGCACUGGUGGUAGAAGCAGUCAAAGAAUACGUGUGAACAGGACUGCCUUCAAUUAAAGGCUGUCUUACUGAUUUUUUUUACAUGAGUUGUAACCAAGUGGCCAGCUGCCAGCAGAGACACCAUGACACUCCAAGCUGAAGCUCACAGUGCACACUCCCUUGCAGCUUCACCGGGGCACCCACAAGCACAGACUGACCCCACCACAGGAGACUCUGCUACCUGGACAGGUACCUACCUACUCUACUACCUACUCUGCUGCCUUGGGACACCACAGUCCUGCUGCCUUCCUGGGGUGCCUACUCCCCUCGCCCUGCAAACAAACCCUGGCUCAGUUUGUACCUCUGCUUUCUGAUGGCAUGGGCCUCAGCUCUGGACUUUCUUACACCCAGCAAUGGCAGAUGGAGAACACCCAGAAUAUCCCAGUCAUGCCUGAGGCAGCAACAUGCAAAUAGAUCUUUCCCUCCAUACUGAGCUGGUGGGAACAGGACUGCUGGCCAACAGCAAAUUGGAAGUAUCGCUGCAGUUAAGACAGGAGAGAAACCUGCCCUACAUGAUCUGAACAAGCCACUCUGCCCAAAAAGUGUCAUGCCUAACAAAUGUGCAGAGCAACUGCAAGAACAGGCGAAAGCACCAGCAGUUCCCAUGCAGUGAGGAGCUACCAAGAUCCACAAGUUCGUACAGCGUUAAAGAGAACACAGCCUGCUACGCUGGGCAGAAGAAGGAUCUGGGCAAGAAGGAUCCGAGAUUGCAGAAACAACUCAUUAUCUAGAUGGUUUUAGUGCAGCACACAUGUAAUUAUCCUAGUAUUAAUGCUGUCGGCAACUCAAAGUGUUGUCUUUGGAUCUUUCAGAUGCUUUUCUGUUAGAAAAAGUUCCCCUUGAUUACAGUACUCCACUUGCAUAAGACAAUCACGCCUCACUAACCCAGACUCAGACAAGCCACAUCACACUUGUAGAUCCCUGUCUGUGACCCAUAGGAAGGCACGUAAUGAAACAUACUCACCAUUUUCAGACCAUGUUGCUCAGGAUAGUCUCUGUCAUCUGUUGGUCUCAAGCUUGAAUGCUGUAAGACUGGUGGAGCGCAUUGUUGAAUUUUUUUCUGCAUACUUCCAAUUUCAGGAGCCAGUCAAGCUGAGAUGACAGCUUGAGAUGCCAACUGCGGCUUAGGAUAGGCUGUGCACCACAGAACUUGGUCCCCAUAAGACGUGUUGCUUCAGAAUGGCAUCCUAAAAUGAGAUCCUUAGGAAAGGUUUAGUAUUAUACAUUUGUGAAAAUUGUAUUACAAAAACUGAAAGAUUUAACUCACCCUUUCACACUUCAUGUGUAGAUUUGAUUCCUAUGUUACCUGGCAACUAAGUCACCACUAAUAGUAGUUUUAUGUGAUUAGAUAUCCAUUUGAAUCACUUCUGCUGAAGACAUCUGAUGGACAGAUUAUCUAUCAGAUAUCAAUGGAAACUGUACAUGGAAAAAGAUGUUGUGUUGCCUGCUGUUUACGGCCCACAGCAACAUAACUGCAAUCAUAUUUCUGAGUCACUGAUACGCACUUCUCUGCCCUGCUUCACACUCCUCUAAAAGACACAAGAAAGAAAGCAGUAGCAGUGGCCUACAGGACAGCACAUUACAUUUCUGGAGUUCAGAACUGUAUCAGCAUGAUGUUGUUUGACCCCUUUUUCUGUUCAUUUAGCAAAAACUCUCAUAAAAGGAAACUGGUUUUCCAGAAGAGGUUCUUACAUUUCAAGCUGAUUUAGGCUUUCUUGCUUGUGUCUAAAAAUCUCUUUCCAAUCUUUCUUCAUUUACUAUUUAAUGAUCCCAAGUUCUUGUAGACCCUGAUACAGGCAAGCAGAGAAGACAGUUCCUAUCAAGAAAGACUAUCUCAAAUGGUUUUUUUGUUUUUUUGUUUUUUUGUUUUUUUUUUCUGUAUGUCCAUGAUUACUUUUUCUAUCUAUCUUGGACAAACUUACAAAAAGCUUUCACAUACACCUGAAUUAACAUUUAUUGUGAUCACAGAUGUGGACCAGAGGAAAUCUUUACCAGACCAACUGAAAGAAAGACUUGGCUUUUCCAACAGAACUGAGCUAAACGAUGCAGAAUAGAUUAGUAUCGAUGUAGACUUUCUAAUGUUUUCUGUAAGUCUGGCAUUGUCUAUACCCAUCCUGACAGUCUAUUAGGUUUUGUGUGUUCAUGGGUGAAGCAUUUAUGUUAAAUAAAUUUGCUGUUUCUCUACCUGAAUCAUAGUUAACAAGUAUACAUAUAAAAAAAAUCAUAGUUGUAUUCUUAUAUGAGAACAAUGGACUGAUUACUUGUACUGCUGUGAUUUGAGAGAAUAAAGUACACACAGCUUCCACAUAUAGAGAAAACUUAGUAAUUAUUCCUUGUGAAUGGAUGCAGUCUUAUAUAUAAAAAGCAAAUUGAAUGAUCUAGAUAUAAACUGAAGACACUUUUCUGUGGUAGCUAAGUGUUGUUAACUGGUGUGUACAAAUAAAAGGAUAAUUUUGUGUUUA
Molecule: long non-coding RNA, 3652 nt
Organism: Anas platyrhynchos (mallard)
Lineage: Eukaryota; Metazoa; Chordata; Aves; Anseriformes; Anatidae
Source: RefSeq, a predicted model, not a curated record